Molecule: ribosomal RNA, 253 nt
Filed under: uncultured bacterium
Lineage: Bacteria
Description: partial 16S ribosomal RNA
Rfam family: Bacterial small subunit ribosomal RNA
Source: RNAcentral
UACGUAGGGGGCAAGCGUUAAUCGGAAUUACUGGGCGUAAAGCGUGCGCAGGCGGCUUUGCAAGUCAGAUGUGAAAUCCCCGGGCUCAACCUGGGAACUGCAUUUGUGACUGCAUGGCUAGAGUGCGGCAGAGGGGGAUGGAAUUCCGCGUGUAGCAGUGAAAUGCGUAGAUAUGCGGAGGAACACCGAUGGCGAAGGCAAUCCCCUGGGCCUGAACUGACGCUCAUGCACGAAAGCGUGGGGAGCAAACAGG